Long non-coding RNA from Gastrolobium bilobum, 1031 nucleotides. RefSeq lists it as uncharacterized. NCBI's taxonomy places the organism in Eukaryota, Viridiplantae, Streptophyta, Magnoliopsida, Fabales, Fabaceae. The record is from RefSeq and is a predicted model, not a curated record. The transcript is spliced from 3 exons.
UAUGCGCAUGAAGGGGGGUAAAGCCCAAUAGGUUCUGACUCUUUGUAGCAUUGCAAACAGCCUCCAACAUCUAUCUUCUUCCUCAAUCGGCGCUGUGUGAGUGAAAAUAUAAGCUGGUUACAUUUUAUGAAAAUGAGAAACGAAAACCUGGCCUGUUCCUUCCUCUUGAUCGUGAGCGAAUGGAGAAAGAUCACCAAAGAGAAAUUUGCAUGCAUCUUCUCCCUUCAUCACACCUUCCCCAAACCGUGAUCUGUACCAGAAUAAGGACCAUCAUCUAGCUUAUUCCCUCUUUUCAUCUGUUCGGCCGAAGACACAUCUAGGAGGCGAAGAAAAGUCUUUGUUGUUUUCUUGUCCCAUUAUACCACUUUCGGCUGAGGAGGAUUUCUUCUGCAUACAGAAUCAAGCUUAAGCUCACAGCCAUCCCUCCCUCCCUUGGUCCAGCCGAAACAACCAUCAGCAAGGAGCUGUGAACUUAGUCCUUUGAAGAGUAGAUAGCCUCCCUUGCAUGCAACUGAAACCGUGCUCUUAGGAGGGUCGAAGUGUAACGACUAUAGCACCAAUCUCGGAGACCACCAACUUGGCCAAUUGUGGAACUUGGACUGAUUGCAAAGAGGUGCGCAAAUUCCCUAACAGCGUGGACUAUUGUUGUGCUGUUUGAUUGAUACUUGGACUCACAAGGAGGACGAAAGAGCAUAUGAUGACGUUGUAGUUUUGGAUAUUUGUUGUUGACUGCUGCUGUUUGGCAUUUCUGCUAUUGUCUGCCUUGUCUUUUGCAUGUGGCUGAACAUGUUAUAUUGUUGUAUUAUUUUGGAAGUAUCGACUACUGUUAGAAGAGGGAUUUACUUGCUGUUUUUAAGAUUUUAUGGUCAGCUUGUACUUUGGAAAAUUCUGCUUAUGUUUUGCGAAAAACAAUUUCUGAAGGUUUUAAAUAUUGUUUUAUAAACUGGUUAGCGAGCACUUUGCGAGUUAUGUUUCGUGGGGCUACAGACCUCCGAUUCGCUUAUAAUUUAUAUGCACACGAAGCCCCACAU